GCUCAAUGGCGGACAGGACUUUUUUAAGCUUGCAGUUUUGGCAUUUGGGAAAUUGUCAUGCUUGGAGGGUCGCUGUUAUUCAAAGGCUGUCUCAAUUAUUGAAGUUCUUGCAAAGUACCAAACGUGCGUGCUGAUGUUGGAUCUCCAAUUAGAUGCAUUGAUUGUUCAAAUGUUUCAACAUUUUUAAAAUAGUAUAAGGUUGGACCACCCUGAUGAAGUAUUCAUGAACAUCAAAGAAAUAAUGACCAUGAUAAUAAAAGAGAGUGAUGAUAUUCCAAUGCAGCUUCUGAACACCCUUGUGAGCAUCCUCAUAAGUAGUGUAAAGAAGGAAAAUCAGAAUGUUUCACCUCGUUCCUAUGUGCUGGGAGAGAAAGUUCUUCAAGAAAGUGCUGUCAAACUCUAUCCAUAUUUUCAAAAGGCAGUGACGGACCUUGGCAUUUCCUUUAACAACUAUUCAGAAGUUGUUGAAUUAAUCUGGCCGCGAUUAAAACUAAAGCUACGGUGGAAAGUGCUCCGCAAGAGCUUGCACCACAUUCUGCGCAUAAGAACGAUGAUGUUGUUCUAGAGACAGUUUCAUCGUUAAAGGAACCAGAAGCAGCCAAAGAAGCAGUAGAUCCAGAAGCUGCUCAAACUUCAAAGAAAAGAGGUUGGAAACCUAUUUUUUUGAAUAAAGCAGAGGAAGGAUAUGUACAUGCUUGGACAAGUACAGAAAGGAGAUCAAAUAUAAGAGCUGAGGUACUGGGUUCUAUCUCAAACACCAAAGAAAUCAAUUUCCCCAUAGCCUGUAAAAAACAAUGUAAAGAACGUAAAAGGAGGAAGUACUUGCUAUCACAAGAAGAGGACCAAGCAGGAUAAUUCAACUCCAAAAGGAGGGCGCCGAAAUAAAGGGGUCAAGGUGGAUGUGCAUGGCUAUAAAGUAGAAGUUAGCAGGCUCCCAUAUUGACUGCCAUUUUUGCCAAGUAUGGUGACAUUGCAGUCAAUUGUCACUACAAAUCAUUGGCUUCCAGAGCUUCCCUUCUUGAUCUAGUUUGUGACGUCGUAAAGAGGCUGAAAGCUGGUGAUGUUGGUUCUUCAUCAAUCAAACAGAUGAAAUCUUUUGUCUCUACUGCCGUGGAAGUCGUGCUUGAUGUAGCUUGGCUGCAGCAGUUUCUGGAUGAGAUUUCAAAAGAAGAGGAUAUGGAGAAAAGGUUACACAUGGAUAUCGAUAUCCUUCUUCGUUGAAUUGUGGAGCAAGACAUCAAUUUCUCUGUGAAAUGCGUUUAUUAACAUUCGUUUUAUCAAACACAUAACGUUUUUGUUUAUGAUCCUUUGCUCCAACAAUAUUUAGGUUUCUUCAAACAAUCUGAUUGAUAUUUUGUGUCGGUGUGAAUUAGCAUACAUGUAAAUUGCAUUUCGACACACUUAAAAUCGUUUGAACAUUUUCCUACAUUUAAUGUGCUGAAUCUUUCCUUUGUCAUCUGA
This is a non-coding RNA of Solanum lycopersicum (tomato), 1461 nucleotides long. NCBI's taxonomy places the organism in Eukaryota, Viridiplantae, Streptophyta, Magnoliopsida, Solanales, Solanaceae. The record is from RefSeq and is a predicted model, not a curated record.